This 469-nucleotide ribosomal RNA is filed under the name uncultured bacterium. Its description in RNAcentral is "bacterial SSU rRNA". It matches the Rfam family "Bacterial small subunit ribosomal RNA", at positions 335 to 798 of the family's 1533-position model. The record is from RNAcentral.
ACUCCUACGGGAGGCAGCAGUGGGGAAUAUUGCACAAUGGGCGCAAGCCUGAUGCAGCCAUGCCGCGUGUAUGAAGAAGGCCUUCGGGUUGUAAAGUACUUUCAGCAGUGAGGAAGGUGGAUAUGUUAAUAGCAUAUUCAUUUGACGUUAGCUGCAGAAGAAGCACCGGCUAACUCCGUGCCAGCAGCCGCGGUAAUACGGAGGGUGCGAGCGUUAAUCGGAAUUACUGGGCUAAAGCGCAUGCAGGUGGUUUGUUAAGUCAGAUGUGAAAGCCCGGGGCUCAACCUCGGAAUUGCAUUUGAAACUGGCAAACUAGAGUAACUGUANAGGGGGGUAGAAUUUCAGGUGUAGCGGUGAAAUGCGUAGAGAUCUGAAGGAUACCGGUGGCGACGGCGGCCCCCUGGACAGAUACUGACACUCAGAUGCGAAAGCUGGGGAGCAAACAGGAUUAGAUACCCUGGUAGGCUCU